AAAAACAUCGCCUCUUGCUUCAGUGAAUAAGAGGUCACGCCUGCCCUGUGACUAUAUGUUUAACGGCCGCGGUAUUUUGACCGUGCAAAGGUAGCGCAAUCACUUGUCCUUUAAAUGUGGACCUGUAUGAAUGGCAUAACGAGGGCUUAGCUGUCUCCUUUCUCAAGUCAAUGAACUUGAUCUCCCCGUGCAGAAGCGGGGAUAAAACCAUAAGACGAGAAGACCCUAUGGAGCUUUAGACAAAAAACAGCCCCUGUCAAUAAACCCUAAAUAAAGGAAAUAAACCUAGUGAACCUGUUUUAAUGUCUUUGGUUGGGGCGACCGCGGGGUAACAAAAAACCCCCAUGUGGAAUGAAAACACCCUUUUUAAAACCAAGAGUCACCACUCUAAGUUACAGAACAUCUGACCAAUUAAUGAUCCGGCUAAAGCCGAUUAACGAACCGAGUUACCCUAGGGAUAACAGCGCAAUCCUCUUUUAGAGUCCAUAUCGACAAGAGGGUUUACGACCUCGAUGUUGGAUCAGGACAUCCCAAUGGUGCAGCCGCUAUAAA
RNAcentral lists this ribosomal RNA (552 nucleotides) under Takifugu vermicularis (pear puffer). RNAcentral describes it as "partial large subunit ribosomal RNA". It matches the Rfam family "Bacterial large subunit ribosomal RNA", at positions 1809 to 2568 of the family's 2925-position model. The record is from RNAcentral. Lineage: Eukaryota; Metazoa; Chordata; Actinopteri; Tetraodontiformes; Tetraodontidae.